RNAcentral lists this long non-coding RNA (202 nucleotides) under Populus trichocarpa (black cottonwood). Its description in RNAcentral is "long non-coding RNA (PTRI_LNC001627)". Lineage: Eukaryota; Viridiplantae; Streptophyta; Magnoliopsida; Malpighiales; Salicaceae. The record is from RNAcentral.
UUUUUUUAUUUGAAAAUAUAUUAAAAUAAUAUUUUUUUCUCUUAAAAUUUAUUUUCACAUCAACCUAUCAAAAUAAUUUAUAAUUAUUAAAAAAAAUUAAAACAAAAAAAAUUCAUAAUCGCUACUUAAACAAAAAAAAAGAAAAACAAACAAACAAACAUACUUUAAAUCCAAGUUCUGAGGUUUACCAUUAAUAUUCGAG